GGGCGAGACGAUCCGUAGCUGUUUCAAAGGAGAUACGCCACUGACUGAACGGCCCAGAUCCUACGGAGGCAGCAUGGGAUUGACAUGGGGCACUGAUCCAGCAUGCGCGUGGCGGAGAGCUCCGGUUGUAAACCGCUUUACGGGAGAAAAGGCAUCUCUUAUACGGGGUGUCUGACGUACCGGUGGAAUAAGCACGGCUACUACGUGCCAGCAGCCGCGGUAAUACGUAGGGUGCGAGCGUAAUCGGAAUUACUGGGCGUAAAGCGUGCGCAGGCGGUUCGUUAAGUUCGAUGUGAAAGCCCCGGGCUCAACCUGGGAACUGCAUUGGAAACUGGCGAGCUUGAGUGUGUCAGAGGGGGGUGGAAUUCCGCGUGUAGCAGUGAAAUGCGUAGAGAUGUGGAGGAACACCGAUGGCGAAGGCAGCCCCCUGGGAUAACACUGACGCUCAUGCACGAAAGCGUGGGGAGCAAACAGGAUUAGAUACCCUGGUAGUCCACGCCCUAAACGAUGUCAACUGGUUGUUGGAAGGGUAACCUUUUAGUAACGAAGCUAACGCGUGAAGUUGACCGCCUGGGGAGUACGGUCGCAAGAUUAAAACUCAAAGGAAUUGACGGGGACCCGCACAAGCGGUGGAUGAUGUGGUUUAAUUCGAUGCAACGCGAAAAACCUUACCCACCU
Molecule: ribosomal RNA, 678 nt
Filed under: uncultured bacterium
Lineage: Bacteria
Description: bacterial SSU rRNA
Rfam family: Bacterial small subunit ribosomal RNA
Source: RNAcentral